GAGCAAGACGUGCUCCUUCCCCCACGCCGCACGUGCACCCCAAAAUGAAAGAUUUCUUUUCCGCUGGAGUGUACGGGGAGGCUGCUGCCCGGGGCCGGAGACGCGCGGGCGGAGGGAAGCCAGGCGCUGGUGGUGAAGAGGCUGACUGAAGGGGAGUCACGUGGGCAGCCCGUGGGCAGCGGCGGCAGCAGCUCAGAAGAAAUUGACUGACUGGCCGCUUGGGCGCAUUUCAAUAUAUGGAAAUGACCAGAGGCUUCUGCAAUAAAUCAGCACUCAACACUU
Molecule: long non-coding RNA, 282 nt
Organism: Myotis lucifugus (little brown bat)
Lineage: Eukaryota; Metazoa; Chordata; Mammalia; Chiroptera; Vespertilionidae
Exons: 2
Source: RefSeq, a predicted model, not a curated record